Molecule: small nuclear RNA, 107 nt
Filed under: Phascolarctos cinereus (koala)
Lineage: Eukaryota; Metazoa; Chordata; Mammalia; Diprotodontia; Phascolarctidae
Source: RNAcentral
GUGUUCCCUUCAACAGCCCAGAUACAAUCAUUGGAAUGAUGCAGAAGAGAUUCACAGGGACCCUAGGCAAGGAGGCCAAACACAUUCAUGAAGUCUUCCCUAACUUA